Long non-coding RNA from Mercenaria mercenaria, 2196 nucleotides. RefSeq lists it as uncharacterized. The record is from RefSeq and is a predicted model, not a curated record. Lineage: Eukaryota; Metazoa; Mollusca; Bivalvia; Venerida; Veneridae. The transcript is spliced from 2 exons.
AGGAAGUUCUUUGACAGAGAGCAGAAUAGAGUAAAUAUUUGGGAGAGUGUUUCCCUAAAUAUUUUACUAUAUGCAGCUUAUUUCAUCUUGGAAGUUAACAAUAAUUAACAGAAUGCACCAGGUGAGUUCAUAAGAUUUAUUUAUUUUCAAACAGUAGUCUAUAAUUAUUACAUUUAACAAUGUCAAAACUAGAACAAUGGAUUCUAACAGGAAGCAGGUGGUUUAGUUUUCACUGUGUAAUGCAACAAAUGAUUUUUACUUCAUGUCAUUUUGUACCACUGCAACUAUUAUGCAGCUGCAAUUUCUAAUUUAUCAUGCUUUUAAUUUAUUAGAAGGAAAAUUGGAUAUUCUGUUUAAAUGAAAAUAUCAAAUGGAACAAAAAAAAAAUAAGGCCAGUAGAGUUAUCUCCACAGGUGGCACUGCUGAGUAAACAAUGCUACCAGUCUGCUGACUACAAUAUUACACAGUAUAUUCAGGGAGUAUUUGGUUUAAAUCAAUGUUUUUAACCUGUUAUUAUAUGAAAAUUAUUUAACAGAAAGAAAUGUUUAUGGAUAAUUUUGUUUUUAUUACAGAACAAUUAUAUCGAAAUUUUAGCAAAAACACACAUAUUAAGUAGCUUUUUGUUAUUUAUAGGUACUUUUAUACUUCUUCUUUUGUUAAUUCUGAUAUCUUUAACUACAUUUAUCUCUUAGUCUAAUUCUUUUCAAUUAAUAUGAUUUUCAAAUUUUCAAAAAAAAAAAGUAGCAUCUUUAAUAAUGGGAAUUGCAUGUCUAGUCCAAGACUAUUAUUAUAUCUUUUUAGAAUUUUUAUUUUUAGAAUUGUGAGUAUAGCCAGUCUAUAUCUAAGGUCCAGUAUCAUAUGAUAAUAUUUAAAUCUGUAAAUUAGACUGGCAUUUGUCACAAUAACAUACAUUUUAAAAAAUCACAUUUUUUUUUUAUUUUGUGACAAGUUCUUUAUUAUCAGUCCUGCGGCUAGUCUAGUAUAGUCCACCUACUUGUGAUAGUCUUAAAUUGUCUAAUAUUUACCCAUUUCAACACAAUAAACUGGAAUGUAUAAGUAAAUAAAAUUUCCAUGUUCAAGGUUAAAUGUAUAGAUUUAGGGUUUCCCUUUAGAGGAGUCUUACAGAAUAUUGACAUAUAUAUUUGUAAUGUUCAGGGAGAUUAUUUGAGCCUAUCAUACUUAUGGAAAAUAUAUCAAACUUUCCAUGACAUUGAAUAAAAGGCUAAUACAUAUACACAUCAUUUUUAUUACGAACUUUGCAAAGGCAUAUUUUAUUUACUUUCAAGUAACUUUUUUUUUUUAUUGCGAGGUGCAGUGAAUAAUGCAUAUAUUAUUCAUAAUUUGUAAUUUUAAAUGUGUGGCAAAAUUUAAAAAUUGUUUUACAUUUAUAUAUAAUCUUAUGCAAAAUUUGUUUUUUAAUGAGCAGUUAUUUAUACUUGUAUAACACCUUUUACAUAUUGUUACAUACUAAAUUACAUAAUAUAUAAAUAACUUCUCCAACUACUAUGAAGCAAAAAAAAAAGUAUAAACAGUACUGUCAACUGAUGAAUGCAUUAGAGACAUUUUCAUCAAUGUACAGUUUCAGUUUUAGAUCAUUGACAUAUACCCAAUAUUAAACUAAAAAAAAUUAUGGACAUCUAAGUGUUGAAUUAAAUAUAUUUUUCAGGUAUAGCAUCAUAUGUGUAUAUAAAGUAUCAGCACACAUGAAUGAAUUGAGACAUGUUUAGUGACCCUAUGUAUUGUGUUCAAAGGCUCCAUCCAACCGUUCAAAGACACGUCAUAGCAGUGGAGCAAAUGGUGGCAAAUGAUGGCCUUGUGGUGGUUAGUGAAAAACUGGCAAUCUACAUUGGUGGUGGCAAACAUUGACAGAAAAUUCUGGACCAGCAGUGACAUUAAGUUGAAAAUAAUGACAUAUUUUACACUGUAUUGAAGAUGUAAUUGCGAAAAUUAUUUAAUAAAAAACGUUAUGGCUAUCAGUGGAAAACAUCGAUAUACUAUAAUAAGAGUGGAACUGACAUUUUAACACUAUUGUUUGAACUAUUAUAUAUCACCUAGUUCAAAAUUCAUAAGCAUUUUUGUUAUACUAUAGACUUGAAAAACAUAGUUAUUUAAAGACCUAAAUAAUAUCGUUAUUGUUCUAAAUUAGUUAAAAUGCUGACUAAUUUAAGAACAAUCAAAAUAAAAGGUUGAUUUACA